AGUGAACGCUGGCGGUAGGCCUAACACAUGCAAGUCGAACGGCAGCACAGUAAGAGCUUGCUCUUACGGGUGGCGAGUGGCGGACGGGUGAGGAAUACAUCGGAAUCUACUUUUUCGUGGGGGAUAACGUAGGGAAACUUACGCUAAUACCGCAUACGACCUACGGGUGAAAGCAGGGGAUCUUCGGACCUUGCGCGAUUGAAUGAGCCGAUGUCGGAUUAGCUAGUUGGCGGGGUAAAGGCCCACCAAGGCGACGAUCCGUAGCUGGUCUGAGAGGAUGAUCAGCCACACUGGAACUGAGACACGGCCCAGACUCCUAGGGGAGGCAGCAGUGGGGAAUAUUGGACAAGGGGCGCAAGCCUGAUCCAGCCAUACCGCGUGGGUGAAGAAGGCCUUCGGGUUGUAAAGCCCUUUUGUUGGGAAAGAAAAGCAGCAGGUUAAGACCCCGCUGUUCUGACGGUACCCAAAGAAUAAGCACGGGCUAACUUCGU
Molecule: ribosomal RNA, 491 nt
Filed under: uncultured bacterium
Lineage: Bacteria
Description: partial 16S ribosomal RNA
Rfam family: Bacterial small subunit ribosomal RNA
Source: RNAcentral